GUUCCACAUUUUGGUGCUACAUGGGGCUUCCCAGAGUAUGAUAAUAAAGUAUUGUUGCAGUUCUUUGACAUCUUGAUAUAGCUACAUUUUCUAAUGUGUUGUGUUCCAUUGAUAUAUGCUAUCUUUCAGACGGUAUCAUACUUUAGCACUCUACCAAAAUUAAGGAGGCAAAGAAAUUACAACGGCAAAAAGAAGCCAAAAGAGAGACGGGUAAACCGAAAAAGAAAUGGAUGAGACUAAAGGAAAAAUUAUAAAAAAACGACACAUGCAAUAUUAUUUUAUGGAUUUUGGGUAGAUUUUGCACUUUUCUUCAUUCCUCUUCAUUUUAUAGUCUUCUUUUGGAUUAUAAAUAAGGAGAAAUUUGAAAGUA
This is a long non-coding RNA of Lycium ferocissimum, 370 nucleotides long. RefSeq lists it as uncharacterized. The record is from RefSeq and is a predicted model, not a curated record. The transcript is spliced from 2 exons. NCBI's taxonomy places the organism in Eukaryota, Viridiplantae, Streptophyta, Magnoliopsida, Solanales, Solanaceae.